RNAcentral lists this ribosomal RNA (239 nucleotides) under uncultured bacterium. RNAcentral's name for it is "partial 16S ribosomal RNA". It matches the Rfam family "Bacterial small subunit ribosomal RNA", at positions 28 to 247 of the family's 1533-position model. The record is from RNAcentral.
GACGAACGCUGGCGGCGUGCUUAACACAUGCAAGUCGAACGGAGUGCUCAUGACAGAGGUUUCGGCCAAUUGAUUGAGUUACUUAGUGGCGGACUGGUGAGUAACGCGUGAGGAACCUGCCUUUCAGAGGGGGACAACAGUUGGAAACGACUGCUAAUACCGCAUAAAUUAUCCAGUCGCAUGGACAGGAUAAUCAAAGGAGCAAUCCGCUGAAGGAUGGACUCGCGUCCGAUUAGAUA